This 522-nucleotide ribosomal RNA is filed under the name Triticum aestivum (bread wheat). RNAcentral describes it as "partial small subunit ribosomal RNA". Lineage: Eukaryota; Viridiplantae; Streptophyta; Magnoliopsida; Poales; Poaceae. The record is from RNAcentral.
AUGUCCAAGAAGAUCGUGAUCAGAGCUGAUCUCAUCGGCGAGAAGUGCAAGAGCAAGAUCAUGUCAAUUGUUGCCAAGCUCGAGGGGAUCAAGUCCAUGGACAUUGACCAGGACAAGUGCACGCUGACGGUGGUCGGCACCGUCGACCCGGUGUGUGUCGUGCAGAAGCUCAGGAAGUCGUGCUUCGCCGCGACUAUGAUCAGCGUGGACGACGACAAACCCAAGGAGAAGAAGAGCCCCUGCCAGGAGGCCUGCGAGAAGGCCUGGAAGGAGAAGUACGAGAAGGCCUGCAAAGAGAAGUGCGAGAAGGCUUGCAAGGAGCCGUGGUGCGGCGACUGCGAGAAGGGGACACCGUCGUACCGCUGCACGCCGGGCUGCUACUCCAGCCCCUGCGGCCUGCCCAGCUGCCACUACUACAGCAAUGGCUACGGCUACGGCGUGCGCACACCCCCGCCGCCACUGGGAUACGCCUGCUAUGAGGAGCGGUCACGCGGAGGCGGAGGAGAAUGCGGCAUCCAGUAA